Molecule: ribosomal RNA, 207 nt
Filed under: uncultured bacterium
Lineage: Bacteria
Description: partial 16S ribosomal RNA
Rfam family: Bacterial small subunit ribosomal RNA
Source: RNAcentral
CGCGUAGGCGGCCUGCUAAGUCUGAAGUGAAAGUCCUGCUUUCAAGGUGGGAAGUGCUUUGGAUACUGGUGGGCUGGAGUGCAGGAGAGGAAAGCGGAAUUACCGGUGUAGCGGUGAAAUGCGUAGAGAUCGGUAGGAACACCAGUGGCGAAGGCGGCUUUCUGGACUGAAACUGACGCUGAGGUGCGAAAGCGUGGGGAGCAAACA